GUGCUUGCUUCGGCAGCACAUAUACUAAAAUUGAAACGAUGCAGAGAAGAUUAGCAUGACCCCUGCAAAUCUGUGAAGCAUUCCAUUUUUUU
This is a small nuclear RNA of Heterocephalus glaber (naked mole-rat), 92 nucleotides long. The record is from Ensembl. Lineage: Eukaryota; Metazoa; Chordata; Mammalia; Rodentia; Bathyergidae.